UGAGGGAAAGUUGCAAAGAACUUUGAAGAGAGAGUUCAAGAGUACGUGAAACUGCUCAGAGGCAAACGGGUGGGCCCUCGAAAUCCUCUUGCGGGGGGAUUCAGUCAGGAGGGGCGGAGGUGUUCGGCGGUCGAUUCGAACGGACCUCCUCCAAGGCCGGGCCGUCGUCACGGUCUCCGUCUCGCCUGACGCACUUCCUCCCGCACCACGGACGCCGCAACCGGUUGGGUAGCUGCGCGAGUCGGCCAUGAGGGCGGGCAACGGCAGGUGGCCGGGGGCGUCGCUUCGGCGGCUCCUCCGGUUGUUAGCCAGCCCGUCCGUGGCGCGACACCCGACCGAGGUUGACGUGUUCCCGUCCCGGGAACCGGCCGUCCCCUUCCUAGCGGGCUUUCCGGCAGGCGUAUCGCGGCGUCGCCUCGUCACCCCUCGUGGUGGCCGGCGCACCGAGUUCGCUGUUGGUUGGUUCUAGUCCCGCGGGGGUCGUCCCGAGGUUAGCGGCGAGUAGGUCGGUCACCCACCCGACCCGUCUUGAAACACGGACCAAGGAGUCUAACAUGUGCGCGAGUCACGGGGUCUUGAUUAGGCCCAGAGGCGCAAUGAAAGUGAAGGCCGCUUGCGGCCGUGUUGGGACUCACCGCCCCCCUCGGGGUGCGGGGAAGCACCAACGACCCGUCCUGUCCGAUUUAUCGGUUGGGCGGAGUCCGAGCGUACACGUUGGGACCCGAAAGAUGGUGAACUAUGCCUGGGCAGGACGAAGCCAGAGGAAACUCUGGUGGAGGUCCGUAGCGGUUCUGACGUGCAAAUCGAUCGUCAGACCCGGG
RNAcentral lists this ribosomal RNA (821 nucleotides) under Periegops keani. RNAcentral's name for it is "eukaryotic LSU rRNA". It matches the Rfam family "Eukaryotic large subunit ribosomal RNA", at positions 354 to 915 of the family's 3401-position model. Lineage: Eukaryota; Metazoa; Arthropoda; Arachnida; Araneae; Periegopidae. The record is from RNAcentral.